This is a long non-coding RNA of Zea mays, 1010 nucleotides long. RefSeq lists it as uncharacterized. NCBI's taxonomy places the organism in Eukaryota, Viridiplantae, Streptophyta, Magnoliopsida, Poales, Poaceae. The transcript is spliced from 3 exons. The record is from RefSeq and is a predicted model, not a curated record.
UCAGUCUAAACCAGAAUUUAAUUAUUUUUUAUAAUGCACGUGCAAUGAGAUAAAACCAAACCACCUUAUAAUUUGGAAUAGAGACUUAACAUUUUGUUGGCUGGGACAUUGGGCUAUAUUUUGCAGCCUCCUCACUUGGCACAGAUAACUUCAUUUGUUUUCCAGAGAUUGUAUUAAUACUUUGCAGGAAUAAACAUUGUGUCUUGUUAUCCAUUGCAAUAUACAACACUUAAGCCCUUGGCUGAUAGAGUGAUUGUAAAGAUUAACUUUUCCGAGGAGAAGACAACUGGUGGAAUUUUGCUUCCAACGACUGCUCAGUCUAGACCUCAGGGUGGCAAGGUAGUUGCUGUUGGAAAAGGAAUGAUAAUUGGGGACAAUAAAGUUGAUGUCAACAUUUAGUAAUAACUAUAAGCUCUCUGUGAGCCAAUUCUUGAGAUGAUGUCCAACAUGUUCAUUUAAGUGGUGCCUAAGUUGGUGUCAGAAAUACGUCAAGGAAAAAUGUCGAACAACAAAUCAGAAGAUAAAUUCAAGAACUGGUUGCUUCAACAAGAGUCUGUCCAUGAGGAUGGCAUGCAACAUUACUUGCCCUUCGAUUGAGAUAGGUGGCUACGGUGAUGCUUUGUUGAACCUGAUAUACGCAUCUCCAUCAAGCCAGUUCGAAGAGCUCAGUUUAGAAUGUGAGCUAGAUGCUACAGGCAAUCAUCUAGAGUGAAGGAUGCUCAAGUUCACGGCUCACCUAUACCUGAGAGUAAUGGAAGAUUAUCGAUAGCUGCUCAGACUAAAAUGAUGUCCACAGUCUCAGAAGAUGCAAUUCUCGUUGGCUCAUCUUUCAGAUACCAAAGUAGCCUUGGUAACAACAAUAAGAGGGUUGGGCUUUUUGAUAUGGGUGAUGGAAGUAGUGAGCCUGCUGCUGAGGACAACAAUCAAAUGCAUCAGGUGAAAUUAGUUUCUAACUUCAUCACAAGCUCACGAUUGAAAAUCUUGUAUUGGUCUAUAAAACUUCAAGCAUG